CAGUAGCCACGGUAAUACGUAGGGUCCGAGCGUUGUCCGGAAUUAUUGGGCGUAAAGGGCUCGUAGGCGGUUUGUCGCGUCGGGAGUGAAAACCAGCAGCUUAACUGCUGGCCUGCUUUCGAUACAGGCAGACUUGAGGCAUUCAGGGGAGAACGGAAUUCCUGGUGUAGCGGUGAAAUGCGCAGAUAUCAGGAGGAACACCGGUGGCGAAGGCGGUUCUCUGGGAAUGUUCUGACGCUGAGGAGCGAAAGUGUGGGGAGCGAACAGGAUUAGAUACCCCAGUAGUCCCUGUCUCUUAUAA
RNAcentral lists this ribosomal RNA (301 nucleotides) under uncultured bacterium. Its description in RNAcentral is "partial 16S ribosomal RNA". It matches the Rfam family "Bacterial small subunit ribosomal RNA", at positions 509 to 809 of the family's 1533-position model. The record is from RNAcentral.